GGGCUCACCUUGGCAGCACAUACACUAAAAUUGAAACGAUACUGAGAUUAGCAUGGCCCCUGUAGAAGGAUGACACACAAAUUCGUGAAGCGUUCCAUAUUUGU
This 104-nucleotide small nuclear RNA is filed under the name Sciurus vulgaris (Eurasian red squirrel). Lineage: Eukaryota; Metazoa; Chordata; Mammalia; Rodentia; Sciuridae. The record is from RNAcentral.